This 383-nucleotide ribosomal RNA is filed under the name uncultured bacterium. RNAcentral describes it as "bacterial SSU rRNA". It matches the Rfam family "Bacterial small subunit ribosomal RNA", at positions 423 to 793 of the family's 1533-position model. The record is from RNAcentral.
UUGUAAAGCACUUUCAGUCGUGAGGAAGGUAGUGUAGUUAAUAGCUGCAUUAUUUGACGUUAGCGACAGAAGAAGCACCGGCUAACUCCGUGCCAGCAGCCGCGGUAAUACGGAGGGUGCGAGCGUUAAUCGGAAUUACUGGGCGUAAAGCGCAUGCAGGUGGUUUGUUAAGUUCAGAUGUGAAAGACCCGGGGCGUCAACCUCGGAAUAGCAUUUGAAACUGGCAGACUAGAGUACUGUAGAGGGGGGUAGGAAUUUCAGGUGUAGCGGUGAAAUGCGUAGAGAUCUGAAGGAAUACCGGUGGCGAAGGCGGCCCCCUCGGACAGAUACUGACACUCAGAUGCGAAAGCGUGGGGAGCAAACAGGAUUAGAUACCCUGGUAG